This 1343-nucleotide ribosomal RNA is filed under the name uncultured bacterium. Its description in RNAcentral is "16S ribosomal RNA". It matches the Rfam family "Bacterial small subunit ribosomal RNA", at positions 28 to 1378 of the family's 1533-position model. The record is from RNAcentral.
GACGAACGCUGGCGGCGUGCUUAACACAUGCAAGUCGAACGGAAAGGCCCUGCUUUUGUGGGGUGCUCGAGUGGCGAACGGGUGAGUAACACGUGAGUAACCUGCCCUUGACUUUGGGAUAACUUCAGGAAACUGGGGCUAAUACCGGAUAGGAGCUCCUGCUGCAUGGUGGGGGUUGGAAAGUUUCGGCGGUUGGGGAUGGACUCGCGGCUUAUCAGCUUGUUGGUGGGGUAGUGGCUUACCAAGGCUUCGACGGGUAGCCGGCCUGAGAGGGUGACCGGCCACAUUGGGACUGAGAUACGGCCCAGACUCCUACGGGAGGCAGCAGUGGGGAAUAUUGCACAAUGGGCGGAAGCCUGAUGCAGCAACGCCGCGUGCGGGAUGACGGCCUUCGGGUUGUAAACCGCUUUCGCCUGUGACGAGGCGUGAGUGACGGUAAUGGGUAAAGAAGCACCGGCUAACUACGUGCCAGCAGCCGCGGUGAUACGUAGGGUGCGAGCGUUGUCCGGAUUUAUUGGGCGUAAAGGGCUCGUAGGUGGUUGAUCGCGUCGGAAGUGUAAUCUUGGGGCUUAACCCUGAGCGUGCUUUCGAUACGGGUUGACUUGAGGAAGGUAGGGGAGAAUGGAAUUCCUAGUGGAGCGGUGGAAUGCGCAGAUAUCAGGAGGAACACCAGUGGCGAAGGCGGUUCUCUGGGCCUUUCCUGACGCUGAGGAGCGAAAGCGUGGGGAGCGAACAGGCUUAGAUACCCUGGUAGUCCACGCUGUAAACGGUGGGUACUAGGUGUGGGGUCCAUUCCACGGGUUCCGUGCCGUAGCUAACGCUUUAAGUACCCCGCCUGGGGAGUACGGCCGCAAGGCUAAAACUCAAAGGAAUUGACGGGGCCCCGCACAAGCGGCGGAGCAUGCGGAUUAAUUCGAUGCAACGCGUAGAACCUUACCUGGGUUUGACAUGGAUCGGGAGUGCUCAGAGAUGGGUGUGCCUCUUUUGGGGUCGGUUCACAGGUGGUGCAUGGCUGUCGUCAGCUCGUGUCGUGAGAUGUUGGGUUAAGUCCCGCAACGAGCGCAACCCUUGUUCACUGUUGCCAGCACGUUAUGGUGGGGACUCAGUGGAGACCGCCGGGGUCAACUCGGAGGAAGGUGGGGAUGACGUCAAGUCAUCAUGCCCCUUAUGUCCAGGGCUUCACGCAUGCUACAAUGGCUGGUACAGAGAGUGGCGAGCCUGUGAGGGUGAGCGAAUCUCGGAAAGCCGGUCUCAGUUCGGAUUGGGGUCUGCAACUCGACCUCAUGAAGUCGGAGUCGCUAGUAAUCGCAGAUCAGCAACGCUGCGGUGAAUACGUUCCCGGG